RNAcentral lists this ribosomal RNA (253 nucleotides) under uncultured bacterium. RNAcentral describes it as "partial 16S ribosomal RNA". It matches the Rfam family "Bacterial small subunit ribosomal RNA", at positions 524 to 776 of the family's 1533-position model. The record is from RNAcentral.
UACGUAGGGGGCGAGCGUUGUCCGGAUUCAUUGGGCGUAAAGAGCUCGUAGGCGGCUUGGUAAGUCGGGUGUGAAACCUCCAGGCUCAACCUGGAGACGCCACUCGAUACUGCAUGGCUCGAGUACUGGAGAGGUUGGUGGAAUUCUCGGUGUAGAGGUGAAAUUCGUAGAUAUCGAGAGGAACACCGGUGGCGAAGGCGGCCAACUGGACAGAUACUGACGCUGAGGAGCGAAAGCGUGGGGAGCGAACAGG